The sequence is a transfer RNA, 92 nucleotides long. It matches the Rfam family "tRNA". From Rfam's summary of the family: Transfer RNA (tRNA) molecules are approximately 80 nucleotides in length. The record is from Rfam.
GGCCAGGUGGCCGAGUGGUUAUGGCGUCAGGUUUAGGUUCGCUUAAAUCCCUGAUUUCGAGAGAUUCCCGCGUUCGAAUCGCGGCCUGGUCA